RNAcentral lists this ribosomal RNA (694 nucleotides) under uncultured bacterium. RNAcentral's name for it is "bacterial SSU rRNA". It matches the Rfam family "Bacterial small subunit ribosomal RNA", at positions 111 to 823 of the family's 1533-position model. The record is from RNAcentral.
UAACGCGUGGAUAACCUGCCGUAUACCGGGGGAUAACACUUAGAAAUAGGUGCUAAUACCGCAUAAGCGCACGGCUCCGCAUGGGGCAGUGUGAAAAACUCCGGUGGUAUACGAUGGAUCCGCGUCUGAUUAGCUAGUUGGCGGGGUAACGGCCCACCAAGGCAGCGAUCAGUAGCCGGCCUGAGAGGGUGGACGGCCACAUUGGGACUGAGACACGGCCCAAACUCCUACGGGAGGCAGCAGUGGGGAAUAUUGCACAAUGGGGGAAACCCUGAUGCAGCGACGCCGCGUGAGUGAAGAAGUAUCUCGGUACGUAAAGCUCUAUCAGCAGGGAAGAAAAUGACGGUACCUGACUAAGAAGCCCCGGCUAACUACGUGCCAGCAGCCGCGGUAAUACGUAGGGGGCAAGCGUUAUCCGGAUUUACUGGGUGUAAAGGGAGCGUAGACGGCAGCACAAGUCUGGAGUGAAAUCCCGGGGCUUAACCCCGGAACUGCUUUGGAAACUGUGCGGCUGGAGUGCAGGAGGGGUAAGCGGAAUUCCUAGUGUAGCGGUGAAAUGCGUAGAUAUUAGGAGGAACACCGGUGGCGAAGGCGCCUUACUGGACUGUAACUGACGUUGAGGCUCGAAAGCGUGGGGAGCAAACAGGAUUAGAUACCCUGGUAGUCCACGCCGUAAACGAUGAUUACUAGGUGU